Molecule: non-coding RNA, 113 nt
Filed under: Paenibacillus sp.
Lineage: Bacteria; Bacillati; Bacillota; Bacilli; Caryophanales; Paenibacillaceae
Also listed under: 1 other name
Description: Glycine sequence
Rfam family: Glycine riboswitch aptamer
About the family: This family represents the bacterial glycine riboswitch. Glycine riboswitches usually consist of two metabolite-binding aptamers domains with similar structures in tandem.
Source: RNAcentral
UGAAGAUCAAUGGGAGAGAUCGCGUGGGGAAACCACGGGACACCGAAGGAGCAAGCUGAUAAGCACCCGGCUUAUACAGCAGAAUCUCUCAGGUAGAAGAACCUUGAUUCGAC